AGCCUAAUAGAUAAAAUUAAAAAUUAAAUUAAUAAUGCGAUAUGAUAUAGGGUUAAUAAAUAUGGACUAGUUGGGACAAGCAGCAAUCAAGUAGUCUGAAAUAUCAAGCUGAUCUGUCAUCCACAACCACGAAGAAUCUGACCAAUCCCGACAAGGAACGAGGGCCCACCCACUAUUAAAGAAUAUUGCCAUGUCAGCUCUUAAAAUAGUUUCAUACAUCAUUUCUCUAUAUAAUGCCAUACAAGUCCCCACCCUAGCUCUAAUAUCUUAGCCUGAAAACAAAUAGUGCUAAUUAAGAUGAAGCAUCAUCAAGUCGCCGGCGAAAGUUCUCUAACUCACGAUUCGAAGAGAACGAUCGGAGAAAAAUUCCGGCAGGCCUAUGAAGCAGCCAUGGUGGCUGCGGCAGGAGAUGGAGUUCAACGAGGUUGCAACGUUCCAAUUAAUAGAGGAAUUGAGAGGCGAAAGCCGAGCUACCGCGCUGAAGAUCCCAUCAGAACUAUUAUGUUUUUGGGGUCAUGGAGUCACACUUAGCCAUGGACUUUGAUCCAUUGAUUUGUAAAAACUGGGGCUGAUGUCGAUGAUGAGAUCAAUUUAUUGUGUAAAAAACCCAUUUUUAUGAAUCUAUACGUGAAUACUGUAAAAUAAGUUCUUUACAGCUAAUUGUAACAAACAUAAACCCUUCUUCACAUGAAAUAUUCACUGUUGCGCAGAGAUGGAGUUUGUUAAUAUUGUGUCCUGCAAAUUGAAUUAUUAAUUAAUUAGACUUGCCUAAUAUUAAUUUGUCUCGCUCUUUUUCACUUAUGUUAGUGAAAUUUCUACUUCCAAAUAUCGUGGCUUCACGGUAAUCAUCUUUCUUGAUUAUCUUAUUAUCGUUCAACUACUUAUAAACGAAUAAUGAAGCAGUUAUAACAUGAGAAACAAUAAUAUGGAAUAAAAGAUAUCUUAACAGGAAUCAAUCCCGUGAUUUCUGAUAAGUAAUUAACGCCCUCACCGUCCCUAUUCCCUUGUAUAAGAAUUAGUUAAUGAACUAAGAAAUCAUGCAUCCCUCACCACAAAUUCCUUACAUCAUACUAUCAUAGCUAGAGAAUAGAGAUCAAAGCAUUUUUUUAUCCAAGGAAAAAAAUAACAAUAAUCAUAAUAAAAACAAUAAUAAUAAAACCAAGCUUGUCAUGGAGCUGUUCUAACUUAACAAAUGUCCUUUGGUUCGAGGCCUAAGAAUGCAAUUGUAUUAAAUAUUUAUUGCGA
This 1245-nucleotide long non-coding RNA is filed under the name Citrus sinensis (sweet orange). RNAcentral's name for it is "long non-coding RNA (CSIN_LNC002399)". Lineage: Eukaryota; Viridiplantae; Streptophyta; Magnoliopsida; Sapindales; Rutaceae. The record is from RNAcentral.